RNAcentral lists this ribosomal RNA (441 nucleotides) under uncultured bacterium. RNAcentral describes it as "partial 16S ribosomal RNA". It matches the Rfam family "Bacterial small subunit ribosomal RNA", at positions 338 to 795 of the family's 1533-position model. The record is from RNAcentral.
CCUACGGGAGGCAGCAGUGGGGAAUAUUGCACAAUGGGGGAAACCCUGAUGCAGCGACGCCGCGUGAGUGAAGAAGUAUUUCGGUAUGUAAAGCUCUAUCAGCAGGGAAGAAGAAAGACGGUACCUGACUAAGAAGCCCCGGCUAACUACGUGCCAGCAGCCGCGGUAAUACGUAGGGGGCAAGCGUUAUCCGGAUUUACUGGGUGUAAAGGGAGCGUAGACGGCUGUGCAAGUCUGAAGUGAAAGCCCAGGGCUCAACCCUGGGACUGCUUUGGAAACUGUGGAGCUAGAGUGCUGGAGAGGUAAGUGGAAUUCCUAGUGUAGCGGUGAAAUGCGUAGAUAUUAGGAGGAACACCAGUGGCGAAGGCGGCUUACUGGACUGAAACUGACGCUGAGGCGCGAAAGCGUGGGGAGCGAACAGGAUUAGAUACCCGAGUAGUC